RNAcentral lists this ribosomal RNA (493 nucleotides) under Phomopsis sp. FLS-2010. RNAcentral's name for it is "eukaryotic LSU rRNA". The stretch from base 173 to 326 matches the Rfam family "5.8S ribosomal RNA". The record is from RNAcentral. Lineage: Eukaryota; Fungi; Ascomycota; Sordariomycetes; Diaporthales; Diaporthaceae.
CUGGAACGCGCCCCGGCGCACCCAGAAACCCUUUGUGAACCUAUACCUUACUGUUGCCUCGGCGCAGGCCGGCCUCCCGUGAGGCCCCUCGGAGACGAGGAGCAGCCCGCCGGCGGCCAAGCAAACUCUUGUUUCUUAGUGGAUCUCUGAGUAAAAAACACAAAUGAGUCAAAACUUUCAACAACGGAUCUCUUGGUUCUGGCAUCGAUGAAGAACGCAGCGAAAUGCGAUAAGUAAUGUGAAUUGCAGAAUUCAGUGAAUCAUCGAAUCUUUGAACGCACAUUGCGCCCCCUGGUAUUCCGGGGGGCAUGCCUGUUCGAGCGUCAUUUCACCCCUCAAGCCUGGCUUGGUGCUGGGGCACUACUCCCUCGCCGGAGUAGGCCCUGAAAUCCAGCGGCGAGCCCUAUGGGUAACCGAGUGCAGUAGUAUUCUCGCUCUGGGAUGCCCGUGCGGCGCGGCCGUUAAACCCCCAACUCCUGAGAUUUUGACCUCG